GACGAACGCUGGCGGCGUGCCUAAUACAUGCAAGUAGAACGCUGAAGGAGGAGCUUGCUUCUCUGGAUGAGUUGCGAACGGGUGAGUAACGCGUAGGUAACCUGCCUGGUAGCGGGGGAUAACUAUUGGAAACGAUAGCUAAUACCGCAUAAGAGUAGAUGUCGCAUGACAUUUGCUUAAAAGGUGCAAUUGCAUCACUACCAGAUGGCCCUGCGUUGUAUUAGCUAGUUGGUGAGGUAACGGCUCACCAAGGCAACGAUACAUAGCCGACCUGAGAGGGGGAUCGGCCACACUGGGACUGAGACACGGCCCAGACUCCUACGGGAGGCAGCAGUAGGGAAUCUUCGGCAAUGGACGGAAGUCUGACCGAGCAACGCCGCGUGAGUGAAGAAGGGUUUCGGAUCGUAAAGAUCUGUUGUAAGAGAAGAACGAGUGUGAGAGUGGAAAGUUCACACUGUGACGGUAGCUGACCAGAAAGGGACGGCUAACUACGUG
Molecule: ribosomal RNA, 495 nt
Filed under: uncultured bacterium
Lineage: Bacteria
Description: partial 16S ribosomal RNA
Rfam family: Bacterial small subunit ribosomal RNA
Source: RNAcentral